This 616-nucleotide ribosomal RNA is filed under the name uncultured bacterium. RNAcentral describes it as "bacterial SSU rRNA". It matches the Rfam family "Bacterial small subunit ribosomal RNA", at positions 338 to 944 of the family's 1533-position model. The record is from RNAcentral.
CCUACGGGAGGCAGCAGUAGGGAAUCUUCCGCAAUGGACGAAAGUCUGACGGAGCAACGCCGCGUGAACGAUGAAGGCCUUCGGGUCGUAAAGUUCUGUUGUUAGGGAAGAACAAGUGCUAGUUGAAUAAGCUGGCACCUUGACGGUACCUAACCAGAAAGCCACGGCUAACUACGUGCCAGCAGCCGCGGUAAUACGUAGGUGGCAAGCGUUGUCCGGAAUUAUUGGGCGUAAAGCGCGCGCAGGCGGUUUCUUAAGUCUGAUGUGAAAGCCCCCGGCUCAACCGGGGAGGGUCAUUGGAAACUGGGAAACUUGAGUGCAGAAGAGGAAAGUGGAAUUCCAAGUGUAGCGGUGAAAUGCGUAGAGAUUUGGAGGAACACCAGUGGCGAAGGCGACUUUCUGGUCUGUAACUGACGCUGAGGCGCGAAAGCGUGGGGAGCAAACAGGAUUAGAUACCCUGGUAGUCCACGCUGUAAACGAUGAGUGCUAAGUGUUAGAGGGUUUCCGCCUUUAGUGCUGAAGUUAACGCAUUAAGCACUCCGCCUGGGGAUACGGUCGCAAGACUGAAACUUAAAGAGUAGUGCGUGAGAGAGCGACGACGACGACGAGGAGGAGG